This 933-nucleotide ribosomal RNA is filed under the name Lignyodes enucleator. RNAcentral's name for it is "partial 16S ribosomal RNA". Lineage: Eukaryota; Metazoa; Arthropoda; Insecta; Coleoptera; Curculionidae. The record is from RNAcentral.
AUAUAUAUAUAUUUUUUUUUGUUGAAUAAAAAUUAUUAAUAUAUAUAUAGAAAUUAAAUGUUAGUCGAUUUUAAUAUAUCUAGUUUUUUUAGAAAAAAAUUUAAUUUUAUUUUUAUAUAUUAUUUUAUUAAUUAAAUAUUAAAAUAAUAGUAAGAUUUUAUAUUAAAGGGGAUGAGCUUUUUAAUAAAUUAAUAAAAUUAAAUAUAAAAUUUUAGUAAGUAGAAUUAUAAGUUUUUAUCUUUAUUAGUGUUUUAUAACUAACUAAAAUUUUAUUAAAAUUUAUAUUAAAUUUAUUUAUUUUAUAAAAAAAAAUUUUUUAUUAAUAUAAAAAUUUUUAUUAUGAUAAAAUUAGUAUAAAUUUAUAUGUAUAUAAUAAUUUAUAAAUUAUAGGUUAGUUAAAGGAAUUCGGCAAAUAUAUUUUUCACCUGUUUAUUAAAAACAUGGCUUAUUGAUAAUAAUUUUAAGUCUGACCUGCCCACUGAGUAUUUAAAUGGCCGCGGUAUAUUGACCGUGCAAAGGUAGCAUAAUCAUUAGUUUUUUAAUUGAAAGCUGGAAUGAAAGGUUGAAUGAAAAAAUAGCUGUCUCUAACUAAAUUAUUUAGAAUUUUAUUAUUAAGUAAAAAAGCUUAAAUAAUUAUUGAAGACGAGAAGACCCUAUAGAGUUUUAUAUUUUAUUAUUUAUAAGUUUUUAGUAUUUUAGUUUUAUUAUUAAUAAAAUAUUUAAUUGGGGUGAUUGAAAAAUUAAAAUAACUUUUUUUUAUAUAAAACAUUAAUUUAUGAACAAUUGAUCCUUUAUUUAAGAUUAAAAGAUUAAAUUACCUUAGGGAUAACAGCGUAAUUUUUUUUGAGAGUUCUAAUCGAAAAAAAAGAUUGCGACCUCGAUGUUGGAUUAAAAUUUAUUUUUGGUGUAGUAGCUAAAAUAUUGGGUCUGUUC